Molecule: ribosomal RNA, 253 nt
Filed under: uncultured bacterium
Lineage: Bacteria
Description: partial 16S ribosomal RNA
Rfam family: Bacterial small subunit ribosomal RNA
Source: RNAcentral
UACGUAGGGGGCAAGCGUUGUCCGGAUUUAUUGGGCGUAAAGAGCGUGUAGGCGGUUGGGUAGGUCCGUUGUGAAAACUCGAGGCUCAACCUCGGGACGCCGAUGGAAACCCCCCAGCUAGAGUCCGGAAGAGGAGAGUGGAAUUCCUGGUGUAGCGGUGAAAUGCGCAGAUAUCAGGAAGAACACCCGUGGCUAAGGCGGCUCUCUAGUACGGUACUGACGCUGAGACGCGAAAGCGUGGGGAGCGAACAGG